AUUGAACGCUGGCGGCAGGCCUAACACAUGCAAGUCGAGCGGCAGCGCGGGGCAACCUGGCGGCGAGCGGCGAACGGGUGAGUAACGCGUAGGAAUCUGCCUGGUAGUGGGGGACAACGUUCCGAAAGGAACGCUAAUACCGCAUACGCCCUACGGGGGAAAGUGGGGGAUCUUCGGACCUCACGCUAUCAGAGGAGCCU
This 200-nucleotide ribosomal RNA is filed under the name uncultured bacterium. Its description in RNAcentral is "partial 16S ribosomal RNA". It matches the Rfam family "Bacterial small subunit ribosomal RNA", at positions 30 to 232 of the family's 1533-position model. The record is from RNAcentral.